GGCACUGGUAGAGGAUGGACUUAUGGCGCAUUAGCUGGUUGGUGAGGUAACGGCUCACCAAGGCGACGAUGCGUAGCCGACCUGAGAGGGUGACCGGCCACACUGGGACUGAGACACGGCCCAGACUCCUACGGGAGGCAGCAGUAGGGAAUUUUCGGCAAUGGGGGGAACCCUGACCGAGCAACGCCGCGUGAAGGAAGAAGGAAUUCGUUCUGUAAACUUCUGUUAUAAAGGAAGAACGGCGGAUAUAGGGAAUGAUAUCCGAGUGACGGUACUUUAUGAGAAAGCCACGGCUAACUACGUGCCAGCAGCCGCGGUAAUACGUAGGUGGCGAACGUUAUCCGGAAUUAUUGGGCGUAAAGAGGGAGCAGGCGGCGGCAGAGGUCUGUGGUGAAAGACUGAAGCUUAACUUCAGUAAGCCAUAGAAACCGGGCUGCUAGAGUGCAGGAGAGGAUCGUGGAAUUCCAUGUGUAGCGGUGAAAUGCGUAGAUAUAUGGAGGAACACCAGUGGCGAAGGCGACGGUCUGGCCUGUAACUGACGCUCAUUCCCGAAAGCGUGGGGAGCAAAUAGGAUUAGAUACCCUAGUAGUCCACGCCGU
Molecule: ribosomal RNA, 599 nt
Filed under: uncultured bacterium
Lineage: Bacteria
Description: bacterial SSU rRNA
Rfam family: Bacterial small subunit ribosomal RNA
Source: RNAcentral